Non-coding RNA from Paramuricea clavata, 353 nucleotides. The record is from the annotation of a GenBank genome assembly. NCBI's taxonomy places the organism in Eukaryota, Metazoa, Cnidaria, Anthozoa, Malacalcyonacea, Plexauridae.
AUGCUUUAUUUAACUGCGCCGCUACCUUUAAUUAUUUUAUUGCCUCGUAAAAAUGAGACACUUCGCAUUAAUGGUGUCUGACCAGACUUGUUUUCAAAUUAAGAAUUGAUCUAGAAUUUUCAUAAAAUGCUAACUAAAGAUACUGUACGUCAAAAAAUACUUGUACCAAUAUAAUUUGAAAUUGGUGGAAAUUUGCCUUGGAAUCAAUUCAAAUAAAUUUAGAGUAUAUUUAAGAAUAUAACUAUAGACACUGUACGAGUCGUAAAAUACUUGUACCACUGAUAAUUCGAAAUUGGUGGAACUUUGCCUUGGAAAUCAAUCCAAAUAAAUUUAUUGUAUAUAUAUAUAUAUAU